Molecule: long non-coding RNA, 917 nt
Organism: Vidua chalybeata
Lineage: Eukaryota; Metazoa; Chordata; Aves; Passeriformes; Viduidae
Exons: 3
Source: RefSeq, a predicted model, not a curated record
AGGAGGCGUGGGGCAGCCCCCCCCCAUCGCGGCCCCCCCCGCAGAGCCCCCCCGGCUUUUCCGCUCCCCCCUGGGGCUGCCCCUGUCCCGGCACCUGCUGCUCUGGGCCCGGGUGCCACACGCCGGUGCCACCAAGGACUGUUUGCUGCUCUGCGCCGCCGGCCUGCGCCCCCCCGCCGCGCCCCCCGGGACCCCCCCCUAAUUCCGGGUGUCCCCGGGGUGUCCCCGAGGUGUCCCCGAGGUAUCCCCUCCCCCCUUUGUUGCACUUGACCCCCCCUUUCCCACGAGGGGGAGGGGGGAACCUGUACAGAGACCCCCCCCAAAAUCCGAGACCCUCCCCCCCCCAAAAUCACGGGACCCCCCCACCUCAAAAUCCCACUGGGCACUGGGGGGGGGUCCCCAAAUCCGAGAUCUCCCCCUCAAAUCCCACCGGACCCCCCCCCCCCCCCCCAAAUCCGAGACCACCCCCCAAAAAAUCCCACCGGGCACUCGAGGGGGGGGGGUCCCCAAAUCCGCCCCCCCCCCCCAAAAAACCACUCCACCCCCCCCCGGGGGGGUCCCAAGCGUGUGUCCCCCCCUCCCCACCCCACCCCAAUAAUUUGGGGAGGGGUCUCCCCGGUGCCCCCAUGACCCUCCCCGAGGGGCAGCGGGAUGCGACCCCCCCCAAAAAGGGUGGGGGCCCCCCCGACCCCCCCCCAAAAGGGUGGGGGGCCCCCCCCAUUAGUAAUUUAUUUGUAGGGACGUUUGCACUAAGGACCCCCCCCUUAUUUAUGCCCCCCCCCAAAAUGGACUCCCCAGGGGGGCGCCCCCUCCCCAGUUUGACCCCCCGGGGGGCGCCCCCUCCCCAGUUUGCUCCCCCCCCGUUCGUGGCGCCCCCCGGGGGGGGAGAGGACGAGAAUAAAGUUGUGUUUCUGCCA